GGAUAACAGUAACAACCUACCUAGCCUAGAGGGAUAGAGCAUCCUGCAGCAGUGGGGGAAACCACAUUUAGAGCAAGAAAUCCACAGGACAAAGCUGUGCCGCACAGAUACCAAAGUACUACACACCUCUAGCAUAUCACUCUGUGUAUGGGCAAACCUGUGUCUCUUAGAGAGUCCACAGCCACAAUGUUCUCCCGUAAAUACGUGUCCCCUCGUUUCAUCUUUGGAAGAAUCAGAAGAAAGGAUCGAAAUUGACCCAGCAAAGCCAAGAAUAAAGUCCUGCUGAGGUGAUUGUAUGAUGGGUCAAGUCCAGUCUCCGCUGAUGGGGAAGACAGACUGCUCCUGCAAAUUGGAAAUGUGAAUAUUUCAAACUACAUUAACAAACUGAAAACUGUGAAACGAAUUUGUCUACCUUAUUAACUUCUAUAACUGGCAAUUGAGAGUAAACGUAGGUAGUUGCUAUGAGAUACAUGGUUCUGUAAACUCUGACCUCACUGCAUCUAAAACAUUAGCAAUAACAUCACACUGCUGUAUCUGAUUUUCCUAUAGAGCGGGAUGCUUCAAAAUGAAAGUCACA
Molecule: long non-coding RNA, 577 nt
Organism: Numida meleagris (helmeted guineafowl)
Lineage: Eukaryota; Metazoa; Chordata; Aves; Galliformes; Numididae
Exons: 3
Source: RefSeq, a predicted model, not a curated record